Molecule: small nuclear RNA, 60 nt
Filed under: Pelobates cultripes (western spadefoot toad)
Lineage: Eukaryota; Metazoa; Chordata; Amphibia; Anura; Pelobatidae
Rfam family: U7 small nuclear RNA
About the family: Animal histone pre-mRNAs are spliced by a different mechanism than nuclear pre-mRNAs and self-splicing introns. This processing involves the U7 snRNP, which contains only one RNA species: U7.
Source: RNAcentral
UAGUGAUUAUAGCUCUUUUGCUUUUUGUCUAGUAGGUUCCUGCGGGUAGCGGGAACCACC